AAAGCUUAGGUCAGGACUGCCACCGUAUCGGACCGUCAUUUUUGUCCGGGAUUUCGUCGCUGUAACAUAUCAAUCUAUGAACUUUUAAAAUUAUGUUGGGUAUUGUUCCUCAAAAUUAAUAAAACCUUACUGUGAACUUUGGAAGCAGAAAUAAGUAAAUUUAUGUAGGAUGAUUGUGGAUAACCUUGGCCAACCAAUGCUGCUUGCUUGCGCUUCUGUCCAUGAGGUUACAUCCCCUGGUGGAUGAACCAUUUUGGGGUUGAUCUUCCACUGCACAAGCAAAUCUAUUUUGUCACCAUGUGCUCCCUUAGUAAUGGUUCUGGUAUGAAGCUUUUGAAAAAUAGUGAUUUUGAAAACAUGUUGAAAAUUGUUUGUGGUGAAGUAUCCUGGUAACAUGCGGUUAUGCUAUAAUCCCAGCAUUCUGCAUUACAAAGGGUACAAGAGUGAUUUCAAGUUGGGAUUAUAAUGAGAAGCAAAUUUUCCAUACACAUCUGUUUUAUUCUCAUUCAAUACUUUGGACAACUCCAGUUAGCAGGAUGACUGAUGUUUGCUUUCCUUCUGUCUGUGAAGUUUAAUUCCCUGGAGGAUUGAUGUUGGUGGGUUUGUUAAACAUUAAUAGUAUUUUGGGGUUAAAAGAAAAACAAAAAUUUUUAUUUUUAGGGUUGAUCUUCCAUUGCACAAUCAAAAAUAUUUUGCUACCUGCUCUCCUAGUCAUGGUUCUGAUAUGAAGCUAUGGUCCGGAAAAAUAGUUAUUUUGAAAACAUGUUGUAUGCUAAAAUCCCUGCAUGACAAAGGUUACUAUAAGGAGCUUUUCUGCUGGUGAUGGUGUGUGGGAUUUUGUUUUGCAGAUGCUGAUUGCAACAAUAUUGUGAGUCCCCAAUGCAAUUCGUUGGUUAUGCCAUGGCCAGUAACUGGAUGGUUGAAUUUUGUGAUGUGUUUGAGAGUUAGUAACCAUUCUUACUGUAUGGUUUUACUUCUGGCUGCUGUGGAGCUUUAACUGAAAUAUGUUGGUUCGUGAUCAGCGCUUGGUUGUCCUGUUGAAGUGUAUAUCCAUAUCAGACGCAUUACCUGUGGAUUAUUUUAUUGGGUAAUUUCGUACGUUGACGAAGGUUCUCCUCACGUGUUCAAAAUACACGCGGAGCAAACUGCAGAGAACGUAUGGAAUCGAGUAUAUUAACAACGCGUGAUUAUUUCGUUCUCAGUGCUGGUACCUAUGCUCAUGCUGAGCUUUUAGGAAUGAAGUUUGUCUUGGUAAAAUCACCAUUGUCAAGAUUGAAUGGUAGUGGAGCCGAAGAAGCAAGUUUCGUCACAAAUGGUUGGUGGGACUUGGAGUUGAUCAAAGUUUUCUCUGUACUUUUGUUAUCUCAUAUUGUAGUAUUUAAAACAAAAGAAAAUAUUUGAUAUGAUAUUUUGUGUUA
Molecule: long non-coding RNA, 1418 nt
Organism: Daphnia magna
Lineage: Eukaryota; Metazoa; Arthropoda; Branchiopoda; Diplostraca; Daphniidae
Exons: 9
Source: RefSeq, a predicted model, not a curated record